GAUGAACGCUAGCUACAGGCUUAACACAUGCAAGUCGAGGGGAAACGACAUCGGAAGCUUGCUUUUGAUGGGCGUCGACCGGCGCACGGGUGAGUAACGCGUAUCCAACCUGCCCACCACUUGGGGAUAACCUUGCGAAAGUAAGACUAAUACCCAAUGACGUCUCUAGAAGACAUCUGAAAGAGAUUAAAGAUUUAUCGGUGAUGGAUGGGGAUGCGUCUGAUUAGCUUGUUGGCGGGGUAACGGCCCACCAAGGCGACGAUCAGUAGGGGUUCUGAGAGGAAGGUCCCCCCACAUUGGAACUGAGACACGGUCCAAACUCCUACGGGAGGCAGCAGUGAGGAAUAUUGGUCAAUGGGCGAGAGCCUGAACCAGCCAAGUAGCGUGCAGGAAGACGGCCCUAUGGGUUGUAAACUGCUUUUAUAAGGGAAUAAAGUUAGUCUCGUGAGACUUUUUGCAUGUACCUUAUGAAUAAGGACCGGCUAAUUCCGUG
RNAcentral lists this ribosomal RNA (493 nucleotides) under uncultured bacterium. RNAcentral's name for it is "bacterial SSU rRNA". It matches the Rfam family "Bacterial small subunit ribosomal RNA", at positions 28 to 507 of the family's 1533-position model. The record is from RNAcentral.